Molecule: ribosomal RNA, 301 nt
Filed under: uncultured bacterium
Lineage: Bacteria
Description: partial 16S ribosomal RNA
Rfam family: Bacterial small subunit ribosomal RNA
Source: RNAcentral
CAGUCGCCGCGGAAAUACGUAGGGUGCGAGCGUUGUCCGGAAUUAUUGGGCGUAAAGAACUCGUAGGCGGUUUGUCGCGUCUGCUGUGAAAACUGGAGGCUCAACCUCCAGCCUGCAGUGGGUACGGGCAGACUAGAGUGCGGUAGGGGAGAUUGGAACUCCUGGUGUAACGGUGGAAUGCGCAGAUAUCAGGAAGAACACCGAUGGCGAAGGCAGAUCUCUGGGCCGUAACUGACGCUGAGGAACGAAAGCGUGGGGAGCGAACAGGAUUAGAUACCCGUGUAGUCCCUGUCUCUUAUAC